This 247-nucleotide long non-coding RNA is filed under the name Elaeis guineensis (African oil palm). Its description in RNAcentral is "long non-coding RNA (EGUI_LNC069944)". The record is from RNAcentral. Lineage: Eukaryota; Viridiplantae; Streptophyta; Magnoliopsida; Arecales; Arecaceae.
CAGGCGGAAUGCUUCUAUUGUAAGAAGAAGGGGUAGUAGAAGAGGAAUUAUCCUCAGUACAUUGCCUCUUUAGAUCCAAACAGGCCGAGAAAGAAGUAAGUUAUUGCUGUACAAGGUAAUUAUAUGAUAACACCUUGUAAUUUCUCAAUUUGUGAUUCUACUACCUGGGUAUUAGAUACUGAAAGUCCUUUUAAUAUUUGCAAUUCAUUGCAGGAUCUGCAGGUCAGUAGAAGAUUUGAAGAAGAUG